Molecule: ribosomal RNA, 1407 nt
Filed under: Triticum aestivum (bread wheat)
Lineage: Eukaryota; Viridiplantae; Streptophyta; Magnoliopsida; Poales; Poaceae
Description: partial small subunit ribosomal RNA
Source: RNAcentral
AUGUCAUAUGCUUGGAGGAGUAUUUCUCAUGGCAUUGAUCUUAUCAAAAAAGGAGUAAUUUGGAGGGUUGGAGAUGGUCAAAACAUCCAAAUUUGGGAUGACCCAUGGAUCCCUAGGGCUUGGUCCAGGAAAGUGGUCACACCACGAGGGAGCAGCUUAUUAACCAGGGUGUCCGAGCUCAUCAACCCGAGUACUGGGGGGUGGGACGAGGUACUCAUCAGGGACACAUUUUGGGAGGAGGAUGCCGCCUUGAUCCUCCAGAUACCUUUAAGGGAUGACACCGAAGAUUUCCGAGCGUGGCAUUUUGAUAGUAAGGGUGUCUUCUCGGUUAAACAAGCCUACAAAGUACAACGGGUGUUUUCAGAGCAUUCCGCCGCGGGGCAAGCUGGUGAGCCACAAGCUGUGGGCGAUCUUGAUGGUGGCGGGGACGUGAGAUGGAAAAGAAUUUGGAAGCUUCCGUGCCCGGGAAAAAUUAGGCAUUUUGCAUGGAGGAUGAUGCAUAACACGAUCGCCACAAAGGACAUACUAGCCAGAAGAGGAAUGACCAUCGAUGACCACCGGUGCUUCAUGUGUAAUGUGCGGCAAGAGUCUGGAAAAGAUCUAUUUGUGGAUUGCACUGAGGUGAAAGAGGUGUGGAGGAGCCUAGGGCUUGAAUAUAUCAGAGUGCAACUGUCAGAGUGCGAAGCGAUAGGCGAGACCAUGGACGUCCUCUGGCAGGCCACGGAGAAGGAGAGGCUGCAGGUCAUGGUGAUGUGGUGGCAGUGGUGGAAUCAACGGAAUAAGGUGCGUGAAGGGGAGAAGCCCAUGGAUCGCGAUCAGUUCGUUUGUAGGGCUGCAUGCACGGCGGAGGAAUACCUGGGGUGUUUCUGCAAAUCAACAAAGCCUGAGAGGGGCCCCCAGGGCUGGUCCCCACCGCCUCCGGAUGAACUGAAGUUUAAUGUGGAUGGCGCAUAUAUUCCGGGCAGCCAGCAUGGCGCAUGGGGCAUCAUCGUCCGAGAUUCUAUGGGGCAUAUGGUGGCGGCGCGGGCAGGACGGGUCGAUCACGUGGCCUCGGCUUUCGACACGGAGCUGCAUGCAGGAGAGCGAGCGCUGGAGGUAGCGGCGGAGCUAGGAGUGCUGCGGCUCACGGUGGAGACGGAUGCGCUCCUGGUGCAGCAAGCUUUGAGUCGCCGAACGCCAGACUUCUCUAGGCAAGCCCAUGUGAUUGAGGAUCUUAAAGUGCAAGCGCGCUUAUGGUUUGCUUCUUGUGUGUUUGCUCAUUGUAAUAGGGAGGCCAAUACAGCGGCCCAUAGUCUAGCAAAGCUUGGUUUGGCACUCGCCGUGGGUGAGACCAUUGUACUGGAUGAUGCACUUCCAGCUGAUAUAGCUGCUUCUGUGUUGGGCGACUAUGCCCAAGAUGUUGAGUAA